AACGAACGCUGGCGGCGUGGAUAAGACAUGCAAGUCGAACGGGAGAAUUGCUAGCUUGCUAAUAAUUCUCUAGUGGCGCACGGGUGAGUAACACGUGAGUAACCUGCCCCCGAGAGCGGGAUAGCCCUGGGAAACUGGGAUUAAUACCGCAUAGUAUCGAAAGAUUAAAGCAGCAAUGCGCUUGGGGAUGGGCUCGCGGCCUAUUAGUUAGUUGGUGAGGUAACGGCUCACCAAGGCGAUGACGGGUAGCCGGUCUGAGAGGAUGUCCGGCCACACUGGAACUGAGACACGGUCCAGACACCUACGGGUGGCAGCAGUCGAGAAUCAUUCACAAUGGGGGAAACCCUGAUGGUGCGACGCCGCGUGGGGGAAUGAAGGUCUUCGGAUUGUAAACCCCUGUCAUGUGGGAGCAAAUUAAAAAGAUAGUACCACAAGAGGAAGAGACGGCUAACUCUGUGCCAGCAGCCGCGGUAAUACAGAGGUCUCAAGCGUUGUUCGGAAUCACUGGGCGUAAAGCGUGCGUCGCCUGUUUCGUAAGUCGUGUGUGAAAGGCGCGGGCUCAACCCGCGGACGGCACAUGAUACUGCGAGACUAGAGUAAUGGAGGGGGAACCGGAAUUCUCGGUGUAGCAGUGAAAUGCGUAGAUAUCGAGAGGAACACUCGUGGCGAAGGCGGGUUCCUGGACAUUAACUGACGCUGAGGCACGAAGGCCAGGGGAGCGAAAGGGAUUAGAUACCCCUGUAGUCCUGGCAGUAAACGGUGCACGCUUGGUGUGCGGGGAAUCGACCCCCUGCGUGCCGGAGCUAACGCGUUAAGCGUGCCGCCUGGGGAGUACGGUCGCAAGAUUAAAACUCAAAGAAAUUGACGGGGACCCGCACAAGCGGUGGAGUAUGUGGCUUAAUUCGAUGCAACGCGAAGAACCUUACCUGGGCUUGACAUGUAAUGAACAACAUGUGAAAGCAUGCGACUCUUCGGAGGCGUUACACAGGUGCUGCAUGGCCGUCGUCAGCUCGUGUCGUGAGAUGUUUGGUUAAGUCCAGCAACGAGCGCAACCCCUGUUGCCAGUUACCAGCACGUGAAGGUGGGGACUCUGGCGAGACUGCCCAGAUCAACUGGGAGGAAGGUGGGGACGACGUCAGGUCAGUAUGGCCCUUAUGCCCAGGGCUGCACACGUACUACAAUGCCCAGUACAGAGGGGGCCGAAGCCGCGAGGCGGAGGAAAUCCUAAAAACUGGGCCCAGUUCGGACUGUAGGCUGCAACCCGCCUACACGAAGCCGGAAUCGCUAGUAAUGGCGCAUCAGCUACGGCGCCGUGAAUACGUUCCCGGGUCUUGUAAU
Molecule: ribosomal RNA, 1338 nt
Filed under: uncultured bacterium
Lineage: Bacteria
Description: bacterial SSU rRNA
Rfam family: Bacterial small subunit ribosomal RNA
Source: RNAcentral